UGGGGAAUAUUGGACAAUGGGCGAAAGCCUGAUCCAGCAAUGCCGCGUGAGUGAUGAAGGCCUUAGGGUUGUAAAGCUCUUUUACCAGGGAUGAUAAUGACAGUACCUGGAGAAUAAGCUCCGGCUAACUCCGUGCCAGCAGCCGCGGUAAUACGGAGGGAGCUAGCGUUGUUCGGAAUUACUGGGCGUAAAGCGCGCGUAGGCGGUUUUUCAAGUCAGGGGUGAAAUCCCGGAGCUCAACUCCGGAACUGCCCUUGAAACUGGAUGACUAGAAUCCUGGAGAGGCGAGUGGAAUUCCGAGUGUAGAGGUGAAAUUCGUAGAUAUUGGGUGGAACACCAGUGGCGAAAGCGGCUCUCUGGUCCGGAUCUGACGCUGAGGCGCGAAAGCGUGGGGAGCAAACAGGAUUAGAUACCCGGGUAGUCC
This 424-nucleotide ribosomal RNA is filed under the name uncultured prokaryote. RNAcentral's name for it is "bacterial SSU rRNA". It matches the Rfam family "Bacterial small subunit ribosomal RNA", at positions 355 to 796 of the family's 1533-position model. The record is from RNAcentral.